This 255-nucleotide ribosomal RNA is filed under the name uncultured bacterium. RNAcentral describes it as "partial 16S ribosomal RNA". It matches the Rfam family "Bacterial small subunit ribosomal RNA", at positions 524 to 776 of the family's 1533-position model. The record is from RNAcentral.
UACAGAGGUCUCAAGCGUUGUUCGGAUUCAUUGGGCGUAAAGGGUGCGUAGGCGGCGCGGUAAGUCGGGUGUGAAAUCUCGGGGCUUAACUCCGAAACUGCAUUCGAUACUGCCGUGCUUGAGGACUGGAGAGGGAGACUGGAAUUUACGGUGUAGCGGUGAAAUGCGUAGAUAUCGUAAGGAAGACCAGUGGCGAAGGCGGGUCUCUGGGACAGUUCCUGACGCUGAGGCACGAAGGUCAGGGGAGCAAACGGG